AUGAUGCAGAGCAGCGCGGAUCCAUCCCCUGCAUCCUGCGCUGUGGGAGGGGGUGGCGGGGCUGGCCCCACAUCCGCUCCAUUUGGCUUCCCAAGAGUGUCCCGAAGCGCUCGGCUCUGUCCCUGUCCCUGUCCCUGUCCCUGUCCCUGUCCCUGUCCCUGUCCCUGUCCCUGUCCCUGUCCCUGUCCCUGUCCCUGUCCCUGUCCCUGUCCCUGUCCCUGGCUGCCCUCCCAGCUCAGCACAAACCCGGGGCUCUGGAGCCCUGACCCCCCAAGCAAAGCCUCUCCUUGGCCAGCGCAGCUCUGGGGAAAGCCCAGGGGAGAGGGAGAAGUGGCGAUUUCCUGCCGGAGCCCGCGGGCCCGUUCACAGGCCCCUGCUCCAGAGCCGAGCCGUGGGAACGCGGGGGGUUCGGGAGCAGCAAGCAGCCGGGGCUCGGUCACCCCGCCCUGUGCCAGCCCACCCGGGUGGCACCGCUGCCAGCACACACGGAGCCCUCACCCGGCAGUGCAAAGUGGGGGAGCUGAGCUGAGCACCUGGAGCCGCCUGUCCUGGCACCCCCAGGCGAUGCUGCAGCCGAGAGCACCGGCUCUGCCCGAAGUUUCCCCGCGGCUCUGCCCGGCUCCCGCAGCAAAUCCCAGCCUGGGCCAUCCCAUCCUGCUGUGCCACCCCUGCCAGCUCCCCAGAAAGGGCGCAGUGCCAGGCUGGGUGCCUGCUCCUGCCUCUGUUGGACGUGGCUCAGGCAUUUUCCACAAAGACAAAGCGGAGCAACGUCAGCAAUUCUUUGCUUUUAACUCUUUCCUGCUCCUCCGAGGAGCAGUGACAGCGUUCAGGUGCCCGUGUGGCACCUCCCUGUCCCCUCCCUGGGCACUGAGCACAGCCCUGAGCCCGGGCUCUGGGGCACAGCGGUUCCCUGCUGACACUGCAGGAAUUAAAGCACCAGCAGCGGGGCAGGGCGUGGAGGAACUGCCUGGGGAGGGCUGGGAGCAGCGGGGCUGCUGUGCCAGGCUGGGUGUCACCAGUGUCACACUGCUGUGCCACGCUCGGUGUCACACUGCCGUGCCAGGCUGGGUGUCACACUGCCGUGCCAGGCUCGGUGUCACACUGCCGUGCCAGGCUGGGUGUCACCAGUGUCACACUGCUGUGCCAGGCUGGGUGUCACCAGUGUCACACUGCUGUGCCAGGCUGGGUGUCACCAGUGUCACACUGCUGUGCCAGGCUGGGUGUCACCAGUGUCACACUGCUGUGCCAGGCUGGGUGUCACCAGUGUCACACUGCUGUGCCAGGCUGGGUGUCACCAGUGUCACACUGCUGUGCCAGGCUGGGUGUCACCAGUGUCACACUGCUGUGCCAGGCUGGGUGUCACCAGUGUCACACUGCUGUGCCAGGCUGGGUGUCACCAGUGUCACACUGCUGUGCCAGGCUGGGUGUCACCAGUGUCACACUGCUGUGCCAGGCUGGGUGUCACCAGUGUCACACUGCUGUGCCAGGCUGGGUGUCACCAGUGUCACACUGCUGUGCCAGGCUGGGUGUCACCAGUGUCACACUGCUGUGCCAGGCUGGGUGUCACCAGUGUCACACUGCUGUGCCAGGCUGGGUGUCACCAGUGUCACACUGCUGUGCCAGGCUGGGUGUCACCAGUGUCACACUGCUGUGCCAGGCUGGGUGUCACCAGUGUCACACUGCUGUGCCAGGCUGGGUGUCACCAGUGUCACACUGCUGUGACAGGCUCGGUGUCACAGUCACACUGCUGUGCCAGACUCCGUGUCACCAGUGUCACACCAGGAGCAGGGCUGCUGUGCCAUGCUCAGUGUCACACUGCUGUGCCAUGCUCAGUGUCACACUGCUGUGCCAGGCUCGGUGUCACCAGUGUCACACUGCCGUGCCAGGCUGGGUGUCACCAGUGUCACACUGCCGUGCCAGGCUGGGUGUCACCAGUGUCACACUGCCGUGCCAGGCUGGGUGUCACAGCCGCAGCGAUGCGUCAGUGCAGCCGUGGGCACUCCGUGGGGGAGGUGUGCAGCGUUCCCGCUGCCUGGAGAGCGGCUGUGGAAUGGGGAGGGGGAUGUGUGCAGCCCCCAGCGCUCACCUGCAGCCAGGCCAGGCCCGGGUUGGCCGCUGUCCGACUCCAUCCCAGCUGUGUCUGUGCAAGCCCUGCUGCCAAAAUCCCGAUGGGUGAGGAGGGGGACGCUCGUUCCCGACUGUAUUCCCGCAGCAGUCCCCAGCAGGGACCCUCCCUCUGCGCUGGUUUGAUGUGGAAAUACGGAAAUCCUGGGAAUUCCUGGCCCGGGGAAGGACCCAGCUCUGUCCUGGCAAAGCCCCAGGCAGCAACACUUCUGGGUGAUCUGAAAUGUGAUCUGAAAUGUGUCCCCCCUUUGCAGCCAGGGGCUCUGCUGGGAUGGGGAUAAGGGGGCUGCAGGUGAGGAGUGAGGGGCGUGGGGCACUGCCACCAACAUCCCAAAGGCCACCAAGGCGGGAGGCAACAGGGCAGGGGAUGAGGUGGCUCCUGGGGGGGCUCUCCUUGGCCGCCUUUCCACAGCUCAGUGAGGAAAAAGGGCAGGAAAGCAAAAUGUGCUGCUGGGAGGGAGCUGCAGCCACGGCCCAAGAGCGGCUGUAAAACCAGCAAAAUAAAACCUUCCGCUGUUCAUUGCUGGCUAAUAAACAUCAGCACCGCUGCUGCUGCUGCCAGUAACGAAGUUUUCCUUCCCAGCCACUUGAUUUUAGUGGGAACUUGACCUGAGAUUGGAUCUGCUGUGCAGAGCCUCGCAGGGCUGCUGGCGGCGGGAUGAGAAAUCUCUGCUGGUGGUUGCAGAGCCGAGAGCCUGAGCCUGCAGGUGCUUCACACACGGGCUGGCCCUGGGCAGCAGGGACUGGACACAGCUCUGCCUGCAGAGGCAGGAAGGGCGAGUUCCCGAAGCCCAGGUGAUGGGAAGCACGGAUGGGGCUGUGCCACGAGCUCCCCGGGGUGCCUGGAGCAGGGACCUGGGUCACUCCUUCAUGAACCUUCCAGCCCCAGCGCGGCCUCCCCGGUUCCCCUUUUCCUCCUCACCCCAGGGAGGCUGAGGGGCUGAUCCCGUGGGAUGGAGCUGCAGGGGCAGCCCUGCUGUCCCCUCCUGUGCAGAGCUGGCUGCGCCUGGGCUGGGCACGCCCCCGUGUCCCCCUCAGACCCAGCUGGUGCCCAGCUGUGCUCCAGAGCCAAAUCCUGCUCAGGUGGGCAGCAGAGGCAGGGGCUGGACCUGGAGCCUUCGCUGCAGCGCCUCGUGUCGGAUCCAGCGCUGCCUCAGACUGAAAUAAUCUCCUCCUGGACUGCUCUGCUGUGUCUCCAGAGCGUUUCCUCGCCCUGCCACCAUGGGAAGAGCUUUGUCCUUGUGGGAGGCUCCACCCAGAGGUCCCUUCCCUCCCAGACCUGCCCAGCGUCCCCAUCCAGCUCCAGCCCCAAGCCCUCGCUGUGAAGGAGCCAAUUCCAAAAUCAGGGAGCGUCUCCCUCCCCUCCCUGUGGCUGCUCCGAGGGGGAACCUCCAGCGAGGCACGAGCAAAGGACCCAGCAGAGCCCAAAGCUGCCGAGCCUGGAAUGGGACCUGCUGCUUUCCAGCCCCAGGGCCCCUCUGCCCUUCCCUGCCAGCCUCUGACUCCCAGCCUGGCAUCUGGAUAUCCUGAUUUCAGCUCCACACCCUGCCUGCUCCAGGACCUGGACUGUGAAAAGCCAGGGCAGGAGAGCCAGACUGGGAGGAUCCUCCUCCAGCUGUCCUGACCAGGAGACGCCGAGGGAUGCAAAGCCUGGCCACUGCAUCCAUCCAUGGGUCUGUCCAUCCAUCAUCCAUCCAUGGAUCCGUCCAUCCAUCCAUCCAUAGAUCUGUCCAUCCAUCCAUCCAUGGAUCCGUCCAUCCAUCCAUCCAUAGAUCUGUCCAUCCAUCCAUCCAUGGAUCCGUCCAUCCAUCCAUCCAUAGAUCUGUCCAUCCAUCCAUCCAUGGAUCCGUCCAUCCAUCCAUCCAUAGAUCUGUCCAUCCAUCCAUCCAUGGAUCCGUCCAUCCAUCCAUCCAUAGAUCUGUCCAUCCAUCCAUCCAUGGAUCUGUCCAUCCAUCAUCCAUCCAUGGAUCCGUCCAUCCAUCAUUCAUCCAUCCAUCCCUCCAUUAUCCAUCCUUCCAUCCCCCCACGCUGGGAGGAGGCCUGGGACGGCUGUUUGUAGAUAUAUGUAAAUUGUAUAUACUGGAUGUAUAAACCAGGGGGGUUUCUGUUCCCUGACAGCCCCACAGGGGCACCUUUGGCUCCCACUCGCCCUCCCCACGAGCCCAGAGGGACCACCGAGGCUGCUGCCCCUCUGCCAGGUGGCUUCUGCAGGGCCAGGGAGGUGCAGGGAGGUGUCUCUGUUCCCUGCAGAGCCCCCAGCAGCUCUGUCCAUCCCCCUGUCCUGUGCUGUGCUCUGUCACCGGAUCCCUUGUGCCCAGGGCGUGUCCCUGCUCCCAGCCCUGUUUUCCUCCCCAGCAAUCAUUCCUCAGUGUCCCAGGUGGGACUGAGCCUUCCCGCACAGGGAGGGGGCUGUGGAUGGUGCAGGAGGGAAAUAAAGGAGUUUUCCUAGAGUUUCUGGUAGUUUGUGUGUGUUGGAGCUGGAGGGUGUGAGCCAGGCUUGGACACAUCCCUGGGAGAGCAUCCCAGAAUGGUUCAGGUUGGAAAACCCCUCAAAGAUCACCGAGUCCAACCUGGGCCACCACUGACAGUGUCCCCAAGUGCCACAUCCACGCAGCUUUAAAUCCCUGCAGCGAUGGGGACUGUGCCUGGCAGCCCUUUCUUUCCACAAAAAAAUUAUUCAUGAUGUCCAACCCGAGCCUUUCCUGGCACUAUCUGAGGCAGUUCCCUCUUGUCCUGACCCUGGGAGCAGAGUUUAUCAAAUCCCAUAAACACAGAGUCCGGCUGUGAGCAGCUGUGCUCGGCAGCACCAACACCGUCCACGCAAAUAAACCAAGCUGCUCCGAAAUGCUUGUGAUUCUUUUUCUUCCCAUCUCGAUUUCCAGCACAAACGGGGGUUUGUGGGGUUUAAAUACAACAAUCUCACAGCCGAGCCCAGGAGCGCUGGAAUCGCCCGUAGAGCUGGGUCCUGCCCGUGGAUCUGCCUCUCCCUUCGGGGCUGGAAAGCACCUUAAAGCUCCGUCCCGUUCCACCCCAUCCUGGGUGGAUUUUGGGGGGAUGUCCCGGUGCUCAGAGCGGCGCUUUUGGAAUGGUGAGAACGGGCAAAGAACCCAACGGGCCCUGAGGGCGAAACCUCCCUACGUGUGUGGAGUGACAGCGGCACCCGCAGGCCGCGGAGCGCGACCUGUUUCCCCGGGAAACGGGAAAGAAAAAGAAAGCGCAAUAAAAUAAAUAAACUAACUCAAUAAAAUAAAAUAAAAUAAACAAAGCGGCGUUUUCUCCCUCUAGCAGCGUCUCCAUGGCAACGCGGCUCUGCCCGGCACAAAGAUGGCGGCGACGCCAUGGCAACGGCACCUGGGCGUGGUUAUGCCAGACACAAAGAUGGCGGCGGCGCCAUGGCAACGGCACCCGGAUGUGCCCAACACAAAGAUGGCGGCGCUGUCAUGGCAACGGCACCCGGAUGUGCCCGACACAAAGAUGGCGGUGCUGUCAUGGGGGGGUUUGUGGGGUUUAAAUACAGCAAUCUCACAGCCAAGCCCAGGAGCGCUGGAAUCGCCCAUAGAGCUGGGUCCUGCCCGUGGAUCUGCCUCUCCCUUCGGGGCUGGAAAGCACCUUAAAGCUCCGUCCCGUUCCACCCCAUCCUGGGUGGAUUUUGGGGGGAUGUCCCGGUGCUCAGAGCGGCGCUUUUGGAAUGGUGAGAACGGGCAAAGAACCCAACGGGCCCUGAGGGCGAAACCUCCCUACGUGUGUGGAGUGACAGCGGCACCCGCAGGCCGCGGAGCGCGACCUGUUUCCCCGGGAAACGGGAAAGAAAAAGAAAGCGCAAUAAAAUAAAUAAACUAACUCAAUAAAAUAAAAUAAAAUAAACAAAGCGGCGUUUUCUCCCUCUAGCAGCGUCUCCAUGGCAACGCGGCUCUGCCCGGCACAAAGAUGGCGGCGACGCCAUGGCAACGGCACCUGGGCGUGGUUAUGCCAGACACAAAGAUGGCGGCGGCGCCAUGGCAACGGCACCCGGAUGUGCCCAACACAAAGAUGGCGGCGCUGUCAUGGCAACGGCACCCGGAUGUGCCCGACACAAAGAUGGCGGUGCUGUCAUGGCAACAGCACCCGGAUGUGCCCGACACAAAGAUGGCGGCGCCGCUCCGUCGUGGCGCCGGAAGUGCAUUCCCCUUGCCGUGGCCAAGAUGGCGGCGGCCCCGGCGGUGCGGGCCGGGCCCGAUGCCGGUGCGGUGGCGGCGAUGGCGGCGCGCGGCGCCGAGGCCGAGGCGCUGUUCGAGGCGCACACGGCGGCCGAGCUGCGGGCGGGGGGGGGGGGGGGGGGGGGGGGGGGGGGGGGGGGGGGGGGGGGGGGGGGGGGGGGGGGGGGGGGGGGGGGGGGGG
RNAcentral lists this long non-coding RNA (6501 nucleotides) under Ficedula albicollis (Collared flycatcher). Its description in RNAcentral is "lncRNA (ENSFALG00000026373.1)". Lineage: Eukaryota; Metazoa; Chordata; Aves; Passeriformes; Muscicapidae. The record is from RNAcentral.